CACGUAGGAGGCGAACGUUAUCCGGAUUUACUGGGCGUAAAGCGCGUGUAGGUGGUUCGGUAAGUAGGGCGUGAAAGCUCCCGGCUCAACUGGGAGAGGCCGUUCUAAACUGCCGAGCUAGAGGAUGGUAGAGGGAGGUGGAAUUCCGAGUGUAGCGGUGGAAUGCGCAGAUAUUCGGAGGAACACCAGUGGCGAAGGCGGCCUCCUGGACCAUUCCUGACACUCAGACGCGAAAGCUAGGGUAGCAAACGGGAUUAGAGACC
This 263-nucleotide ribosomal RNA is filed under the name uncultured bacterium. Its description in RNAcentral is "partial 16S ribosomal RNA". It matches the Rfam family "Bacterial small subunit ribosomal RNA", at positions 524 to 786 of the family's 1533-position model. The record is from RNAcentral.